AGCGGCGGACGGGUGAGUAACGCGUGGGUAACCUGCCUCAUACAGGGGGAUAACAGUUGGAAACGGCUGCUAAUACCGCAUAAGCGCACAGUACCGCAUGGUACCGUGCGAAAAACUCCGGUGGUAUGAGAUGGACCCGCGUCUGAUUAGCUAGUUGGUGGGGUAACGGCCUACCAAGGCGACGAUCAGUAGCCGACCUGAGAGGGUGACCGGCCACAUUGGGACUGAGACACGGCCCAA
Molecule: ribosomal RNA, 240 nt
Filed under: uncultured bacterium
Lineage: Bacteria
Description: partial 16S ribosomal RNA
Rfam family: Bacterial small subunit ribosomal RNA
Source: RNAcentral